UGGUGUAAUGGUCAGCACACUGAGCCGGUAUUUCAGAGGUCCGCGGUUCGAUUCCCGG
Molecule: transfer RNA, 58 nt
Filed under: Stegodyphus mimosarum
Lineage: Eukaryota; Metazoa; Arthropoda; Arachnida; Araneae; Eresidae
Rfam family: tRNA
About the family: Transfer RNA (tRNA) molecules are approximately 80 nucleotides in length. Their secondary structure includes four short double-helical elements and three loops (D, anti-codon, and T loops). Further hydrogen bonds mediate the characteristic L-shaped molecular structure. tRNAs have two regions of fundamental functional importance: the anti-codon, which is responsible for specific mRNA codon recognition, and the 3' end, to which the tRNAs corresponding amino acid is attached (by aminoacyl-tRNA synthetases). tRNAs cope with the degeneracy of the genetic code in two manners: having more than one tRNA (with a specific anti-codon) for a particular amino acid; and 'wobble' base-pairing, i.e. permitting non-standard base-pairing at the 3rd anti-codon position.
Source: Rfam by way of RNAcentral